RNAcentral lists this long non-coding RNA (2110 nucleotides) under Anas platyrhynchos platyrhynchos (common mallard). Its description in RNAcentral is "lncRNA (ENSAPLG00000019585.1)". The record is from RNAcentral. Lineage: Eukaryota; Metazoa; Chordata; Aves; Anseriformes; Anatidae.
CCAUCCACCAUCCUUCCCACCACCUCUCCCACCGUCCUCCCACCUGCACCUCCGGCCAUCCCAGCCCUCUCGCAGCCCCGGUCCCUCUUCCUGAGCUGGAGCCCCAGUCCUUCUCCUUCUUCUUGCAGGGGCAGGUGGCCUGGCUCCUGGCGUGGGUGGCCUGGCUCCUGGCAUAGGUGGCCUGGCUCCUGGUGUGGGUGGCUUGGUUCCUGGUGUGGGUGGCCUGGCCCCCGGCAUUGGAGGUGUCCCAGGAGUCGGAGGUCCGGCAGCAGCAGCAAAAGCAGCAGCCAAGGCAGCCAAGUACGGUGCCGGUGUCGGAGGGGUGCCAGGCGCGGUGCCCGGUGGUCCCGGUGUGCCAGGAGUGACACCCGGCGUUGGCGGCGUCCCUGGGUUGGUGCCGAGCGUGGGGGUACCCGGUGCCGGCGUUCUCCCCGGGGCAGGUGAGGGCAGCACUGCACCCAGAUGUGGGGGGUGGGUGGGAUGGGGGGCACGGGGGUGCCUGUCCUAAACGCGGUGCCCUUGUUUGCUUUGCAGGCAUCCCCCAAGUAGGGGUGCAGCCAGGUGCUAAGCCUCCCAAGUUCGGUACGUAUCGCUGCCACCCGUCCCCAGCCUGCUCCCCCUUGGGCACCCCGUGUUGAUAUCGGGGUGCUGGCCCCUCUUCAUGUCCCCACAUGCCCUGCGGAGCCCUGGGCAUGGGGGGGGAUGGCACGCUGUCACCCCUGGGUGCAGAGUGCCACCCGGUAUGGUGGCUUCUUCCCACCCCAGUCACCCUGGGGACAUUUUCCUCCUGCUCUGCACUGCCUGCAGCAAGGCACCAAGCAGAAGGCCUCCAGGUCUUUCUGUGCUGGGGGAGGUGGGACGGGUGCCAGGGCCACCCCUGGGUGUUCACUGCCUCCCCCGAGCUCCCUGUGCAGGCUGUGGGGACGUGGUCUCACUGCCUCUCUCUGACAGGAGUUCCCGGAGCUGGAGUCCCAGGGGUUGGUGGCAUCCCAGGUGGCCUCGGAGUUGGUGGCCUCGGAGCUGGUGGCCUUGGUGCUGGUGGCCUUGGUGCUGGGCUCUUGUUUCCAGGAGCUGCUGGAAAACCUCCCAAGCCAGGUUUUGGUGUUGGGGGGCUGCCAGGUGAGUGCCGGGGCCGGGGGCCAGGGUGGGACCCUGUCACCGACCGCACUGCCCCGCUUGUUGUCCCCACCCCGCCGGGCACGCCACAGGCUCGCGGGGUGCUCUGUAGCGGGGUGGGCACCCAGGGGUGCUGCUGGGCUCGGGGGCUCUUGGGGCAGCUCACGCCCAGCUUGCUGCAGGCUUGGGGACACUGCGGCCACGCAGGGCUGGGGUGGCAGCGCUGUCACCGGCUGUCACUUUUUCCCCAGGGCCUGGAGUUCCCGGCUUUGGCGUGUCACCGAUAUUUCCAGGUACCUUCCCCUGCGUGCCCUGCCCGGGGGGACACACGCAGCCGCAGGGCACAAGGACACGGCCACGGGGAGUGGGGCUGGGCUGGGCUGGGGGGCACGGGGCCGAGCAUCACUGAGGCUUUGCUGUGCUUUCAGGUGGGGUCGGCGGCCAGCUGGGAUUUGGCGGUGAGUGCGCCCCAGCCAGGCGGGUUGGGGACAGUGGGCGGGGGGUCACCUCCCCAGGGGGCACCCGUGGAGCCCCCCACCCCGCUCACCCUCUCCGUCUUGUCCCCGCAGGGAAGCCCCCCAAGACCUUCGGAGGAGCCCUCGGGGCCCUGGGCUUUAGAGGUGAGCGCCGCCGGGUCCCCCGCCACCCCUGCCCGGCUUCCAAGCCCCCUGCCGGGGCCCGGGGGGGCUGACCCGGUGUCCCCCCCCCCAACCCAGGUGGAGUCGGCUGCGCACAAGGGAAAUACUGCGGGAGGAAGCGGAAGUAACCGCCCGCCCCACCGAUAACCUCAUGAACUUUGGUGCUACUGCAUGGUCCAGAAUGUAAAUCCCCAGCCCAGCUGAGACCCCCCUGGCCCCCCGGCCCCACGCUCCCGGGAGGGACCCCACGGUGCGGCAGCAGCGCCGGGGCCUGCCCCCACCCCGGGAAUUCUCCCCCCCGACCCCCCCAGGGAGCGCGGAAUAAACUGCGGGGAGCAGCUGUCCCCCUUGGUGCU